GCAAGAACAGGAGCAUCCCUGCCCAGAGGCUCCUGGACAGUGAGCCAAGUGUUCAGUGGGGAGAAGUAUAGGGCAGACACUUGGUAGAGGUCACUUGUGAGAACCAGGGACUGGGCAAUAGGAAGCAGCCUUGUUCUAUGUGGACACUUUUAGCUCAGAUCGGGCUGCUUUGAUAACUCGGUAGCCUGGAGAACUUUCACCUUUGUCCUAUCAUAGGUGGGACCACCUUGAGUCCUGAUGCUUAGGGAGGGGCUGACCAGGAGAAAGUCACAGGGAGCCAGCUUGGCCCCAGAUGGGAGAUUGGAGAAGCACACGGGGCAUGCUUCUGCUCCCUUCAGUUAAAGAGAAAGCAGGAGUCUAGUUAGCUACUCGUGUUGUAGUAAAACUGGGGUCUGUAGUCCCCAAAUCCACUUCUCCUUCCUGCUGAGAGCAGAAUCUAGUCAUAGAUGCUAGUGACCAAGCAUAAUGAACAUCCUCCUGAUCCCCAGCCCGAGGCACAGCAUGAGGGUAUCGUCAACAUUAUGGGUCGCCCUCCACAAGCUGAAGGUGAGAGCCUAUGGCUGAAGAUAGCACCUACUUAUGUCAUAGAACAUGGAGAGACCGACCUGGCACUCAUCUGGAAGCUUCACCUCGACUGACUAGCACCUCAAUUGGAAGGCACUAUGGAGGAAAGAGGUGCUGGAAGAAUCGAAGAUGCAUGCCAGUGCACCUGUCUAGUGAUGCCUUUUCUAUUAGUCUUAAUUUAAUUAACCAUGUGCUUGCCAACAUACACACAAAUUUACUUAGUCAAUUUCUACAAAUCAUUCAGAUUUAUAUUAA
Mus musculus (house mouse) is the source of this 819-nucleotide long non-coding RNA. RefSeq annotates it as predicted gene, 51560. The record is from RefSeq and is a predicted model, not a curated record. The transcript is spliced from 3 exons. NCBI's taxonomy places the organism in Eukaryota, Metazoa, Chordata, Mammalia, Rodentia, Muridae.